UGGUGGAGUGAUUUGUCUGGUUAAUUCCGUUAACGAACGAGACCUCGACCUGCUAAAUAGUUCGGCGAAUCCUUCGGGAUUCGCACAAACUUCUUAGAGGGACUAUCGUGUGUGUAGCCGGUGGAAGUUCGAGGCAAUAACA
Molecule: ribosomal RNA, 142 nt
Filed under: uncultured eukaryote
Lineage: Eukaryota
Description: partial 18S ribosomal RNA
Rfam family: Eukaryotic small subunit ribosomal RNA
Source: RNAcentral